Molecule: ribosomal RNA, 426 nt
Filed under: uncultured bacterium
Lineage: Bacteria
Description: partial 16S ribosomal RNA
Rfam family: Bacterial small subunit ribosomal RNA
Source: RNAcentral
GUGAGGAAUUUUCCGCAAUGGGCGAAAGCCUGACGGAGCAAUGCCGCGUGAAGGAUGAAGGCCUAUGGGUUGUAAACUUCUUUUCUCAGAAAAGAAUUAUGACGGUAUCUGAGGAAUAAGCAUCGGCUAACUCUGUGCCAGCAGCCGCGGUAAGACAGAGGAUGCAAGCGUUAUCCGGAAUGAUUGGGCGUAAAGCGUCUGUAGGUUGUUUAAAAAGUAUUCUGUCAAGGAUUAGGGCUUAACCCUAGAUAGGCAGAAUAAACUUUUAAGCUAGAGUUUGGUAGAGGCAGAGGGAAUUCCCGGUGGAGCGGUGAAAUGCGUAGAUAUCGGGAGGAACACCAAAGGCGAAGGCACUCUGCUGGGCCAAUACUAACACUGAGAGACGAAAGCGAGGGGAGCAAAUGGGAUUAGAAACCCUUGUAGUCC